UAACACAUGCAGUCGAGCGGUAACAGGGGGUGCUUGCACCCCGCUGACGAGCGGCGGACGGGUGAGUAAUGCUUAGGAAUCUGCCCAGUAGUGGGGGAUAGCCCGGGGAAACCCGGAUUAAUACCGCAUACGUCCUACGGGAGAAAGCAGGGGAUCUUCGGACCUUGCGCUACUGGAUGAGCCUAAGUCGGAUUAGCUAGUUGGUGGGGUAAAGGCCUACCAAGGCGACGAUCCGUAGCUGGUCUGAGAGGAUGAUCAGCCACAUCGGGACUGAGACACGGCCCGAACUACUACGGGAGGCAGCAGUGGGGAAUAUUGGACAAUGGGGGCAACCCUGAUCCAGCCAUGCCGCGUGUGUGAAGAAGGCUUUCGGGUUGUAAAGCACUUUCAGCGAGGAGGAAGGCUCUGAAGUUAAUACCUUCAGGGAUUGACGUUACUCGCAGAAGAAGCACCGGCUAACUCCGUGCCAGCAGCCGCGGUAAUACGGAGGGUGCAAGCGUUAAUCGGAAUUACUGGGCGUAAAGCGCGCGUAGGUGGUUCGAUAAGCGAGAUGUGAAAGCCCCGGGCUUAACCUGGGAACGGCAUUUCGAACUGUCUGACUAGAGUGUGGUAGAGGGUAGUGGAAUUUCCUGUGUAGCGGUGAAAUGCGUA
This 651-nucleotide ribosomal RNA is filed under the name bacterium SL4.56. RNAcentral's name for it is "bacterial SSU rRNA". It matches the Rfam family "Bacterial small subunit ribosomal RNA", at positions 49 to 692 of the family's 1533-position model. The record is from RNAcentral.